GGCAACUGUGCAAGCUAGCAGCAGUGAUGAAAAAGGGCAGGGGGUAGGGACUUCCACCACCUAUUAGCAGUUGGAGGAGGUGGUGAAGCAAAACUUCUUGAAGGAACUGUGUCUAGUAAUCCAUGGGCGACUCUACGAUGUUCCCCACUUUGAGGAUCCCCCUGGCAGAGAAAAGGUUCUGCUGGAACAAGCUGGUGCAGAUGCAACUGAAAGUUUUGUAGAUGUAGGCCACUCCUCUGAUGCCAGAGAAAUGCUAAAGCAGUACUAUAAUGGUGCUGUCCAUUUGAGUGACCUCAAACCUGAAAAUUGUGCAAGGAUUCUUCAAAAAAUGACACAUGCAAAAGUUUCUGGCCAUAUUGGAUUUUCCCUAUCAUAGGUGCUAUCCUCUUAGGUUACCUGUCUCACUCCUACAUAUUGGAAAGCAAAUCCUCCU
Molecule: long non-coding RNA, 433 nt
Filed under: Homo sapiens (human)
Lineage: Eukaryota; Metazoa; Chordata; Mammalia; Primates; Hominidae
Description: non-protein coding lnc-SEMA6D-3:1
Source: RNAcentral